AAAGGAAUUGACGGGGGCCCGCACAAGCGGAGGAACAUGUGGUUUAAUUCGAUGAUACGCGAGGAACCUUACCCGGGUUUGAACGCAUUCGGACCGACUGUGAAAGCAGUCUUCUAGCAAUAGCCGUUUGCGAGGUGCUGCAUGGUUGUCGUCAGCUCGUGCCGUGAGGUGUCGGCUUAAGUGCCAUAACGAGCGCAACCCUUAUCUUUAGUUACCAGCAUGUAAUGAUGGGGACUCUAAAGAGACUGCCAGCGUAAGCUGUGAGGAAGGUGGGGAUGACGUCAAAUCAGCACGGCCCUUACAUCCGGGGCGACACACGUGUUACAAUGGGUGGGACAGAAAGCAGCUAUCGGGCGACCGUGCGCUAAUCUCCAAACCCACUCUCAGUUCGGAUCGAAGUCUGCAACUCGACUUCGUGAAGCUGGAUUCGCUAGUAAUCGCGCAUCAGCCAUGGCGCGGUGAAUACGUUCCCGGGCCUUGUACACACCGCCCGU
Molecule: ribosomal RNA, 494 nt
Filed under: uncultured bacterium
Lineage: Bacteria
Description: bacterial SSU rRNA
Rfam family: Bacterial small subunit ribosomal RNA
Source: RNAcentral